This 458-nucleotide ribosomal RNA is filed under the name uncultured bacterium. Its description in RNAcentral is "bacterial SSU rRNA". It matches the Rfam family "Bacterial small subunit ribosomal RNA", at positions 340 to 786 of the family's 1533-position model. The record is from RNAcentral.
UACGGAAGGCAGCAGUGGGGAAUAUUGCACAAUGGGCGAAAGCCUGAUGCAGCUAUGCCGCGUGUAUGAAGAAGGCCUUAGGGUUGUAAAGUACUUUCAUCGGGGAGGAAAAAACAAAACUAAUAAUUUUAUUUCUUGACGUUACCCGAAAAAGAAGCACCGGCUAACUCCGUGCCAGCAGCCGCGGUAAUACGGAGGGUGCUAGCGUUAAUCAGAAUUACUGGGCGUAAAGAGCACGUAGGGUGGUUUUUUUAAAGUCAGAUGUGAAAUCCCUGGGCUUAACCUGGAACUGCAUUUUGAAACUGAAAUACUAGAGUAUCGUAGAGGGAGGUAGAAUUCUAGGUGUAGCGGUGAAAUGCGUAGAUAUCUGGAGGAAUACCUGUGGCGAAAGCGGCCUCCUAAACGAAUACUGACACUGAGGUGCGAAAGCGUGGGGAGCGAAACAGGGAUUAGAUACC